Molecule: ribosomal RNA, 374 nt
Filed under: uncultured organism
Description: partial 16S ribosomal RNA
Rfam family: Bacterial small subunit ribosomal RNA
Source: RNAcentral
GUAGGUGGCAAGCGUUGUCCGGAAUUAUUGGGCGUAAAGCGCGCGCAGGCGGUUCUUUAAGUCUGAUGUGAAAGCCCACGGCUCAACCGUGGAGGGUCAUUGGAAGCUGGAGAACUUUGAGUACAGAAGAGGAAAGCGGAAUUCCACGUGUAGCGGUGAAAUGCGUAGAGAUGUGGAGGAACACCAGUGGCGAAGGCGGCUUUCUGGUCUGUAACUGACGCUGAGGCGCGAAAGCGUGGGGGGCAAACAGGGAUUAGAUACCCUGGUAGUCCACGCCGUAAACGAUGAGUGCUAAGUGUUAGGGGGUUUCCGCCCCCUUAGUGCUGCAGCUAACGCAUUAAGCACUCCGCCUGGGGAGUACGGCCGCAAGGCUG